CAGUCGCCGCGGUAAUACGUAGGUGGCAAGCGUUGUCCGGAAUUACUGGGUGUAAAGGGAGCGUAGACGGUUAAACAAGUCUGAAGUGAAAUGCCGGGGCUCAACCCCGGAGCUGCUUUGGGAACUGUAGAACUGGAGUGUCGGAGGGGUAAGCGGAAUUCCCAGUGUAGCGGUGAAAUGCGUAGAUAUUGGGAGGAACACCAGUGGCGAAGGCGGCUUUCUGGACUGCAACUGACGCUGAGGCUCGAAAGCCAGGGGAGCGAACGGGAUUAGAUACCCCAGUAGUCCCUGUCUCUUAUAC
Molecule: ribosomal RNA, 301 nt
Filed under: uncultured bacterium
Lineage: Bacteria
Description: partial 16S ribosomal RNA
Rfam family: Bacterial small subunit ribosomal RNA
Source: RNAcentral